This 301-nucleotide ribosomal RNA is filed under the name uncultured bacterium. Its description in RNAcentral is "partial 16S ribosomal RNA". It matches the Rfam family "Bacterial small subunit ribosomal RNA", at positions 509 to 807 of the family's 1533-position model. The record is from RNAcentral.
CAGUAGCCGCGGGAAUACGGAGGGAGCUAGCGUUGUUCGGAAUUACUGGGCGUAAAGCGCGCGUAGGCGGUUACUCAAGUCAGAGGUGAAAGCCCGGGGCUCAACCCCGGAACUGCCUUUGAAACUAGGUGACUAGAAUCUUGGAGAGGUCAGUGGAAUUCCGAGUGUAGAGGUGAAAUUCGUAGAUAUUCGGAAGAACACCAGUGGCGAAGGCGACUGACUGGACAAGUAUUGACGCUGAGGUGCGAAAGCGUGGGGAGCAAACAGGAUUAGAUACCCCGGUAGUCCCUGUCUCUUAUAC